Molecule: ribosomal RNA, 800 nt
Filed under: uncultured bacterium
Lineage: Bacteria
Description: bacterial SSU rRNA
Rfam family: Bacterial small subunit ribosomal RNA
Source: RNAcentral
AGAGUUUGAUCCUGGCUCAGAAUCAACGCUGGCGGCGUGCCUCAGACAUGCAAGUCGAACGAUUAAAGCUCUCUUCGGAGAGUGUAUAGAGUGGCGCACGGGUGAGUAACACGUAAGUAAUCUACCUUUGAGUGGGGAAUAACGUCCGGAAACGGACGCUAAUACCGCAUAAUGCAGCGGCAUCGCAAGAUGACAGUUGUUAAAGAUUUAUCGCUUGAAGAGGAGCUUGCGGCAGAUUAGCUAGUUGGUAAGGUAAUGGCUUACCAAGGCUACGAUCUGUAACCGGUCUAAGAGGACGGUCGGUCACACUGACACUGAAUAACGGGUCAGACUCCUACGGGAGGCAGCAGUCGGGAAUUUUGGGCAAUGGGCGAAAGCCUGACCCAGCAACGCCGCGUGAAGGAUGAAGUAUUUCGGUAUGUAAACUUCGAAAGAAUGGGAAGAAUAAAUGACGGUACCAUUUAUAAGGUCCGGCUAACUACGUGCCAGCAGCCGCGGUAAUACGUAGGGACCAAGCGUUGUUCGGAUUUACUGGGCGUAAAGGGCGCGUAGGCGGCCCUACAAGUCACUUGUGAAAUCUCCGGGCUUAACUCGGAAUGGCCAAGUGAAACUGUAAGGCUAGAGUGCAGAAGGGGCAAUCGGAAUUCUUGGUGUAGCGGUGAAAUGCGUAGAUAUCAAGAGGAACACCUGAGGUGAAGACGGGUUGCUGGGCUGACACUGACGCUGAGGCGCGAAAGCCAGGGGAGCAAACGGGAUUAGAUACCCCGGUAGUCCUGGCCCUAAAUGAUGAAUACUUGGUG